RNAcentral lists this ribosomal RNA (527 nucleotides) under Diaporthales sp. E6927e. RNAcentral describes it as "eukaryotic LSU rRNA". The stretch from base 204 to 357 matches the Rfam family "5.8S ribosomal RNA". The record is from RNAcentral. Lineage: Eukaryota; Fungi; Ascomycota; Sordariomycetes; Diaporthales.
ACCUGCGGAGGGAUCAUUGAAGGAAAAGGGCGCAAGCCCCCAUCCUCCAACCCUUUGUGAACAUACCUAUAAUCGUUGCCUCGGCGGUGCCGGGCCUGGCCCCCCCUCUCCCCACCGCGGGAGGGGGGAGCAGCCCGCCGGCGGCCUACCAAACUCUUGUUUCCGAGUGUAUCUUCUGAGUUAUAAGCUUCUAAAUAAGUAAAAACUUUCAGCAACGGAUCUCUUGGUUCUGGCAUCGAUGAAGAACGCAGCGAAAUGCGAUAAGUAAUGUGAAUUGCAGAAUUCAGUGAAUCAUCGAAUCUUUGAACGCACAUUGCGCCCGGUAGUAUUCUACCGGGCAUGCCUGUUCGAGCGUCAUUUCAACCCUCAAGCACUGCUUGGUGUUGGGGCGCUACCUCCCCCCGGCGGUAGGCCCCCAAAUCCAUUGGCGAGCCCGCCAGUGCCCCGAGCGUAGUAGUUUUCUCCUCGCUAUGGGCGUGCUGGCGGCGCGCAGCCACUAAGCCCUUCCGUCCGCGCCACCGCGCGGC